Molecule: ribosomal RNA, 292 nt
Filed under: uncultured eukaryote
Lineage: Eukaryota
Description: partial 18S ribosomal RNA
Rfam family: Eukaryotic small subunit ribosomal RNA
Source: RNAcentral
GGUUGAUCCUGCCAGUAGUCAUAUGCUUGUCUCAAAGAUUAAGCCAUGCAUGUCUAAGUAUAAACUACUUUAUACAGUGAAACUGCGAAUGGCUCAUUAAAUCAGUUAUAGUUUAUUUGAUGAUACAAUACUACAUGGAUAACCGUGGUAAUUCUAGGGCUAAUACAUGCACAAGAGCCCGACUUGCAAAGGAAGGGCUGUAUUUAUUAGAUAAAAAACCAACCCGGGCAACCGGAACUUUUGGUGAAUCAUGGUAACUUUUGGAAUCGCAUGACUCUGAUGUCGGCGAUGG